GCCGAGGUCGCUUAGCCUGGUAGAGCGCGGGCCUUGAGAGCCUGUGUGCGCAAGCACGCGGGGGUUCGAAUCCCUCUCUCGGCG
Molecule: transfer RNA, 84 nt
Filed under: Candidatus Nitrosopumilus sp.
Lineage: Archaea; Thermoproteati; Nitrososphaerota; Nitrososphaeria; Nitrosopumilales; Nitrosopumilaceae
Description: Nitrosopumilus sp. tRNA-Ser
Rfam family: tRNA
About the family: Transfer RNA (tRNA) molecules are approximately 80 nucleotides in length. Their secondary structure includes four short double-helical elements and three loops (D, anti-codon, and T loops).
Source: RNAcentral